This 465-nucleotide ribosomal RNA is filed under the name Vreelandella stevensii. RNAcentral's name for it is "partial 16S ribosomal RNA". It matches the Rfam family "Bacterial small subunit ribosomal RNA", at positions 338 to 795 of the family's 1533-position model. Lineage: Bacteria; Pseudomonadati; Pseudomonadota; Gammaproteobacteria; Oceanospirillales; Halomonadaceae. The record is from RNAcentral.
CCUACGGGUGGCUGCAGUGGGGAAUAUUGGACAAUGGGCGAAAGCCUGAUCCAGCCAUGCCGCGUGUGUGAAGAAGGCCUUCGGGUUGUAAAGCACUUUCAGUGGGGAAGAAAGCCUUGGGGCUAAUACCCUCGAGGAAGGACAUCACCCACAGAAGAAGCACCGGCUAACUCCGUGCCAGCAGCCGCGGUAAUACGGAGGGUGCGAGCGUUAAUCGGAAUUACUGGGCGUAAAGCGCGCGUAGGCGGUCUGAUAAGCCGGUUGUGAAAGCCCCGGGCUCAACCUGGGAACGGCAUCCGGAACUGUCAGGCUAGAGUGCAGGAGAGGAAGGUAGAAUUCCCGGUGUAGCGGGGAAAUGCGUAGAGAUCGGGAGGAAUACCAGUGGCGAAGGCGGCCUUCUGGACUGACACUGACGCUGAGGUGCGAAAGCGUGGGUAGCAAACAGGAUUAGAUACCCGUGUAGUC